GUUGCCGAUCAAAGAGAGAUGGUAAGACCCGUUCCCGUUCCGAUCACGGUAGUGAAUCGUCUCGUCGAUUUCGGUUGUACUAUAGAAAAUAUGGGAAGCCGAAGAAGUUGGUAACC
RNAcentral lists this ribosomal RNA (116 nucleotides) under Candidatus Micrarchaeota archaeon RBG_16_36_9. The record is from RNAcentral. Lineage: Archaea; Nanobdellati; Microcaldota.